CUUAAAAGAUGAAUACAAAUGAGGAAUGGUGGGAAAGGUGGGAGUACUGUAAUUACCUAACGUUACAUUAUUAUUUUCCAUAACAAUUUAGCCCCCUCCACAAUAUUAACUGACGUUAAAACAGUUAACUAGCUAUUUAUUGAUUAGCAAUUAGCGAAUCAUGUAACAUUAGCUUAAUGCUAAAAAUUUAGGUUACUAUCACAUUCAGACAAAUAAUUUCAUGUAGGCUAACGUUACCUACCUCUGUCUUUUUCUCGUUUCUCCUCCUCUUCUUCUCUCUUUUUUCUUCCCUGGGCACCUGACAGUUUUGGCCGCUUUGACAUCUUGUGUUGAUUUUUUUGUUGUGGUGACGUCCAAAAGGAACCAUGAUACGGGAAGGGAGGGGGCGCACCGUGCGGGGAGGGGGGGCGUAAUGUUGUAACAAAUAAUAUUUCUAUUAAAUAAGCUUUACUUUGCAUUUUAAUUAACGUGGGAUUAUUUUUUGUAUUUAGAAAUAAUAGUACCAGCUUUUUUUCUUUUUCUUUUUUUUCCCCAAACAUUUGUGGCACUGGCGUGGCGCCCCCUGAUGGCCGGCGCCCUUAGCAUUUGCCUAUACGGCCUAUGCCACGGGCCGGCCCUGCUUGCCGCUCCUGCUUUCACACAUCCGUUUAAACUCAAGGUGGAUGCCAGCGCCGAUGGUGCAGGUGCGGUGCUGUUGCAGGAGGAUAGGCAGGGUGUUGAUCACCCAAAUGGUUACUUUUCAAAAAUAUUCAACUCCCACCAACAGAAAUACAGUACCAUUGAAAAGGAAGCUCUUUCUCUGUUGCUUGCUCUACAGCAUUUCGAGGUCUAUGUCGGUUCUAGUUCAGCACCUGUCAUUGUUUACACCGAUUACAACCCCCUCAUGUUUUUGACUAGGAUGCAAAAUUCUAACCAAAGGCUUAUGAGAUGGUCCCUCUUAGUGCAGGAUUUCAAUCUGGAGAUCCAUCACAAAAAAGGGACAGAGAAUGUAAUGGCAGAUGCGCUGUCGC
This is a long non-coding RNA of Astatotilapia calliptera (eastern happy), 1010 nucleotides long. The record is from Ensembl. Lineage: Eukaryota; Metazoa; Chordata; Actinopteri; Cichliformes; Cichlidae.